GGUUCAAUGGUCUAGUGGUUAUGAUUUCUGUCUUACACACAGAAGGUCCUGAGUUCAAUCCUCAGUUGAGCCA
This 73-nucleotide transfer RNA is filed under the name Serpula lacrymans var. lacrymans S7.9. Its description in RNAcentral is "tRNA-Val (TAC) (tRNA-Val-TAC-1-1)". It matches the Rfam family "tRNA". Rfam says of the family: Transfer RNA (tRNA) molecules are approximately 80 nucleotides in length. The record is from RNAcentral. RNAcentral also lists the same sequence under 1 other name. Lineage: Eukaryota; Fungi; Basidiomycota; Agaricomycetes; Boletales; Serpulaceae.